This 398-nucleotide ribosomal RNA is filed under the name Pichia sp. S513Y7. RNAcentral describes it as "eukaryotic LSU rRNA". The stretch from base 64 to 216 matches the Rfam family "5.8S ribosomal RNA". The record is from RNAcentral. Lineage: Eukaryota; Fungi; Ascomycota; Pichiomycetes; Pichiales; Pichiaceae.
CGUGAGCGCACAAAACACAUAAACCGUGAGUAUUUCUAGUCGAAACUUGAAAAAAAAAUACAAAACUUUCAACAACGGAUCUCUUGGUUCUCGCAUCGAUGAAGAGCGCAGCGAAAUGCGAUACCUAGUGUGAAUUGCAGCCAUCGUGAAUCAUCGAGUUCUUGAACGCACAUUGCGCCCGUCGGUAUUCCGGCGGGCAUGCCUGUCUGAGCGUCGUUUCCUUCUUGGAACUUUUGUUAAAGAAAGAUCCAGAGCUGGCCGUGCCACUGGCCCGGCCGAAAAGAAACGUUGCGGACGAAGCGAACUACAUCGGGACGCUUUGGCCGCCGAGCGAAAAUAUAUCAUUGAGCUCGACCUCAGAUCAGGUAGGAGUACCCGCUGAACUUAAGCAUAUCAAA